RNAcentral lists this ribosomal RNA (835 nucleotides) under Salmonella enterica subsp. enterica serovar Oranienburg. RNAcentral's name for it is "bacterial LSU rRNA". It matches the Rfam family "Bacterial large subunit ribosomal RNA", at positions 114 to 891 of the family's 2925-position model. The record is from RNAcentral. Lineage: Bacteria; Pseudomonadati; Pseudomonadota; Gammaproteobacteria; Enterobacterales; Enterobacteriaceae.
CCGAAUGGGGAAACCCAGUGUGACUCGUCACACUAUCAUUAACUGAAUCCAUAGGUUAAUGAGGCGAACCGGGGGAACUGAAACAUCUAAGUACCCCGAGGAAAAGAAAUCAACCGAGAUUCCCCCAGUAGCGGCGAGCGAACGGGGAGGAGCCCAGAGCCUGAAUCAGCAUGUGUGUUAGUGGAAGCGUCUGGAAAGGCGCGCGAUACAGGGUGACAGCCCCGUACACAAAAGCGCAUGUGCUGUGAGCUCGAUGAGUAGGGCGGGACACGUGGUAUCCUGUCUGAAUAUGGGGGGACCAUCCUCCAAGGCUAAAUACUCCUGACUGACCGAUAGUGAACCAGUACCGUGAGGGAAAGGCGAAAAGAACCCCGGCGAGGGGAGUGAAAAAGAACCUGAAACCGUGUACGUACAAGCAGUGGGAGCCCCACCACUAAGCCAGUGGUGAACUCCACAUACGCAUCCUUUGCUGAGGAUGCGGUUAACGGAGCGAAAGCGACGUUCAACCGCAAAAGAAGCAGAGGGGGCUUAGUGGUGGGGUGACUGCGUACCUUUUGUAUAAUGGGUCAGCGACUUAUAUUCUGUAGCAAGGUUAACCGAAUAGGGGAGCCGGAGGGAAACCGAGUCUUAAUUGGGCGUUAAGUUGCAGGGUAUAGACCCGAAACCCGGUGAUCUAGCCAUGGGCAGGUUGAAGGUUGGGUAACACUAACUGGAGGACCGAACCGACUAAUGUUGAAAAAUUAGCGGAUGACCUGUGGCUGGGGGUGAAAGGCCAAUCAAACCGGGAGAUAGCUGGUUCUCCCCGAAAGCUAUUUAGGUAGCGCCUCGUGAAUUC